GCAGAAUGGCACUUUGAACAAAGGUUGUCUUAUGAUGCAGAUAAAGUCCCAGGUAAUCUCUUGGAACUGCUCUCUGAAGAAUAAAUGAAAAGUAUGUCUAGGCAAGGUAAUGACUUUUAAUUUUUUCUCUUCUCCAGUGAUUAAUCUUUCAUGGUUACUUCAUGAAAUUCCUAGGAGGGAAUUUUAAGACAAUUAUAUUUCUUCUGGAGGAACUUCCAUUAAUUAGAUAAAGAAACUUCAGAAAAAGCCCCUCUUAGAGAUUCCAGGACGGAUCAGCAAUAUAGUGGGUAGGAGAAGUUCAGAAGGAGACCUUGGGUUCUGAGGCUUAUUUCUGAGGCCUUACAAUCUCCACUAAUUCGAAGCCAUAAGGCCUUCAGUAUAUCAAGAUCAGUGGAUCAAAGAAACAUCCUCAAGAAACUAAGAAACAACACAAGAUUCUCUCUGAUGAAAUGCUUAAGUAUAAGGAAAAUGAUGGAAGACACAGAAGAGCAGCAGAAUUGGGUAGAAGACUACUACAGAUGCCAGAUCGCCACUUCUGAAAGAAAGGCUUACGACAACUGGCUCUGUGUUUAAGCCUCGCAGAGGGAGAUGCAAGAGAAGAAGGCUGCCUACAAGCAGCACAGAUAGGAAAUGAUUGAAAAACAGAGAGUGCUGGAGAGACACAUUAGUCAGGAGCCAGCUAGUGGACAACCAGGCAUAGAGAAUCAUCCCCAAAGAGGUCAAUAUGGCUUUGGGAGGGCCCCUUUUUCAGGAUUGCCCUACUUGCUCUACUGCAUGGCUGGCUCUUCAGGACCAUUUGUGGGCUGCCAGACACCUCCUCUGCCUGGGUGGCCUCUGGGAACACGACCACUGCCUCCAUGCACACCACUUGGACAAGCUGAAAUUUGAAGAGGCCCCUGAGCUGUGACAGCCAUGCUGUGGCUCCUACAUAACUUGGAAAAGUAUCCAAUACAUUUUACGCUGCCUGCCCAGUGCUGCCUCAUCUGUCUCUAAUCUUCUGUAGUGUUUCCCCUAAUAAAGGUUUGCAGUCC
This 1031-nucleotide long non-coding RNA is filed under the name Homo sapiens (human). RNAcentral describes it as "long intergenic non-protein coding RNA 1284". Lineage: Eukaryota; Metazoa; Chordata; Mammalia; Primates; Hominidae. The record is from RNAcentral.